AUUCUUGUGCUCGAGCGUUACAUCUAUCAGUGAGGAUUCGUCCGAGAUGAUGUUUUUGCUAGUUGAAAACUAAACAAAGACCGCUCCGUCGUGCUUAUGGUACGAUGGGAAUAUUUGGAAAGAACUAUAUGUUC
RNAcentral lists this small nuclear RNA (134 nucleotides) under Taphrina deformans PYCC 5710. Its description in RNAcentral is "U4 spliceosomal RNA". It matches the Rfam family "U4 spliceosomal RNA". From Rfam's summary of the family: U4 small nuclear RNA (U4 snRNA) is a component of the major U2-dependent spliceosome. The structure of U4 snRNA from yeast and human has been reported. U4 snRNA presents a k-turn RNA motif in the 5p-SL related to recognition of Snu13 protein. The record is from Rfam by way of RNAcentral. Lineage: Eukaryota; Fungi; Ascomycota; Taphrinomycetes; Taphrinales; Taphrinaceae.